RNAcentral lists this ribosomal RNA (407 nucleotides) under Paracoccidioides brasiliensis. Its description in RNAcentral is "LSU rRNA". It matches the Rfam family "Bacterial large subunit ribosomal RNA", at positions 982 to 1357 of the family's 2925-position model. Lineage: Eukaryota; Fungi; Ascomycota; Eurotiomycetes; Onygenales; Ajellomycetaceae. The record is from RNAcentral.
AAUCGGACAUAGUACGAGAAGGUUGUAUGUCUAAAGGGAAACAGCCCAGAACAAGAGUAAUAAGGUUCCUAAAUUAUUAUUAAGUGAAAUAAAGGAUAUAAAUAUAUAAUACAACCAGGAAAUAGGCUUAGAAGCGGUCAUUUUUUAAAGAUCUCGUAAUAGAGCACUGGUUAAUUUAUUCUUUAAUAUAUAGAUACCUAAAAUUUAACGGAUCUAAAUAAUAUACCGAAACCUUGUACAUAUUUAAAUUAAUUUAAAUAUGAGAUAGCGGAACAUUGGAUAAAAUAGUAGAGAUAUAAAUAAAUUAUAUUAUAAUUAAUUAAUCUAAGAAUCCAAGAGAGAAUGCUGACAUGAGUAACGAAAAAGGAUUAUAAAUAAUAUCCUCGCCUUAAGCUUAUGGUAUUUGA